RNAcentral lists this long non-coding RNA (3722 nucleotides) under Marmota monax (woodchuck). The record is from RNAcentral. Lineage: Eukaryota; Metazoa; Chordata; Mammalia; Rodentia; Sciuridae.
CUAACACCUAUAAGCCCCUCUGAAGUUUUACUUUGGAUGCAGACUGUAGACCACAAGCAGUUCCCUGCACUGGAGGACAGGCUCCCUCGUAGGAGAGCAGAUCUGAGCCAACUCUCGCGUCAGACAGGGCCAGGCACAGCUCCAGAGGCCAGAUGGUGGCAGCCAUUCUCUCCCCAGGUUUUUUUCUUCCUGAUGUUGCCUGCCCUAGAGCACAGAUGGGGAAAGCCCUGCAACUGAGAAACCCGGAUUCCGGUCCCAGCCCAGCAUGUGUAGGCAUGUCACACUCUUUAAAAUACGAUCUCAUGAAAGUGAUGGCUUCUAUUAUUUCUAACCAGUAAAAUCUCUCCUAUGCAGGUGAGGAAUGUUCCAGUCCCCACUCCACCACAGUUUGUCUCCAUGUUCCUGGCCACCCAGACACCACCCACCCUUAGCUGAUGGCUCAGAUUAAUUCCAAAUGCCUGGGCAAAUAUUUCAGCCAUGGCCUUGAGUCCUUGAAUCCUGACAUUGCUCAUGAAAUGAACAAGUUCCAGGUGGAGGGGUCUCUUACAACCACGGAGUGUGAAGAAAUCACUUUGCUGAUUUUGGAGCCUUGCAUCAAACAGAAACAAAAAUGUAAAAUAACCUAGAGGCUGCAGAGACCCGGGCGCAUGUCCCUCCAUGCCCUGCAGAGGGCAACCUGCCCUUGUGAUCGGCUCUGGCUGGUUUGGAGUGGUCUCCUUUUCUCCUGGCUUACCCCCAGGGCCUGGUAUGGAAGAGGAAUUGAACCAGCAUAGUCAAUAAAAAUGUGAGUUAAAUGUCAUCUUAGCCACUCACAGGAGGCUUCUGCUUGGCCCUUUCUGGUGGUCCCCAUUCUCAAUUCUCCCAGGUGGCCUGAAUUCUGAUGUCCCGAUGAAAAUCCCUGAACUCAUAGACUGUCCUUAUGGUCCAUUUUCUUUUUGGGAGACACUGAGAACUCGAUUAAUGGGAAACUGAUAACCUUUCAAGAUAGUGCUCUUGUGAAAUAGUUUUGCCUAAAGGCCUAACACAUGUAAGCUCAAGCGUGAUCCAUUUGUCUCUUCUUGUCCUUGACCCAAGAAGAAAAUGCAAAACAGGAAGGCUGGAAAAUAACAGUUGAAACAAAUAUAUGAAUGCAUUUGGAAGCCAGGCCUUUCCCUCCUAGGACUGACGGGGGUCAGACAGAUGUGAGUGGUGGGCACAGGAGGUUAAGGGAGAAAUUCUAUAAAAUGAGACCACUGUGCAGACCCCACAUGCUUUCUUUUCCAAGAAGCAGUUUACCUGCAGCCCCGUCUGGCCUAAGACAGGAUAUGCCGCAUUCCUUUCAAAGUACCUGUUAUCUGCAGGAGAAUUGCAAGCCCGAAAUAAUGUGGAUAUGAGGAACCGAGUUACUCUGAAAGCUCACAUGGACCAGAUUCUAAGCCUGGGAGAUAAGCAUGAUUCCUCCCGACCAUAAAAUCUGUAAGAAUUUAUGGUUAAAAAUCCAAUUAGAACUCGUCAGCAUGGGCCAAGGUGACCUGGAGUAGUGGGGACUUGAAAGUCUGAUGUCAUUCUGCUGUCAGUCAAACGUCAAGAGGUGGAGUUGGGUGGGACUCUCUGAAAACUUCUCUGGGAUCCUCAACCAAACCAGAGUGCAGGAGAGGCAUGGUGUCCCCCUCUUCCUUGAGAGGACCCCCUUCUCCCUUGAGAGUGUCCCCUUUUCCUUCCUAUUGAAGCCAUAUUUAAAGUUAGGUAGUCAGUGUAGUUAGGUAAAUCGGGUCUAAUAUCAAGUAAGAUCCAAAAUGGAGGCCAUGUUGAGAAUGAAUUCCGGGAAAAGCAGAACAACUCUUGGAAUGUUAAUGAAGUCCGGGAAAAGCCCAUCCCAGAGCCCAAUCCAAAGAAGUGUUAAUGAAGAUUACUACUUUGGCCCACCUGUGCCCCACCCCUCAGGCCUUCCCACCUACAUUCCAUCACUGAAAGAACUAUAAAAAGGGGAAACUACCGCACUUCCACGGAUUCCACCUCUUGGGUCCCCUUCUUCCUCUGGAGAAGUCUUUUUUCUGCUGUCUUUUAAUGAACUUCUAAUUUCCACUCUGACCUUGCCUCGGCGUGCUUCUCUGGUGUUAUUCUUCAACACUGGGGAAGCAAGGACUCGUCAGCGGUCGACAGCAGUAACACUAUCUCUUCAGUAAACUCAAGCCUGUUACUCUGAGCGACAUGUCUCAAUUUUUUUUUUUUUACUUAAGGCAAGAAUCAGGGCUUGAAGGGGGGGGGGACUUCAUUCUGCCUCAGUUUCCCAGAAGGCCCCAGCUUUAACAGGACUAGAAUUCCUAGGUGGUACAGUAGGACAGGUGUCUGUAGACAUAGACUUUACCUGAAACCACUUAAUAUGGCUGCAGCUGGUUAGGAGGCUGGAGAAUGGGGGGCUGGGUGUGAGGAGGCCUGUGCUACUGAGGAGCUGGGGUUCUAGCAGAGACUCGGGUGUCUUUCCCUCCAUGACCCCUUCACGUCCCUUUGCUUUUCUACUUAAAUGCAGAUGGAGAUGCCCAGACUGCUCCAGGGGUCCCCGCACCCUCAUCUGCCACCAGCGGGUAGAUUUGCCCCCUGGAUUCCCACGGAGCAGCUCCAACACUUGCCACGGGAAGAUGCAGCUGCCGUCCAACUGAAGCUGCCCCGAUGGGGGACUUGCGUGUUUCCGGGUUCUCUCUGCAGGGUGAGCUCCUUGUCUUCUGUAGUGAGCUGACCUGUGCCCCGAGAAAGGAAUGCCCAAGUCCUAACCCUUGGUCCCUGCCAGGUGCCCUCCCUGGGAAAGAGUCAUUGCAGAUGUCUUUGAGUGAAGAGGUUCAGGUAGGGGCUGAAUCCCAACCACUGAUGUCUUUAUGGAGGAAACGAGAGGCUGGAGCCACAGAGGAGACGGAGUCAAAGGUCCAGAGACGCAUGUGACGGAGGUGUCCACACGCUGAGAGAGGGAUGCCCAGGAUGCUGAUGCCCCCAGGACCCGGGAGGAGGCAUGGCCGGGUGGAGCCUCCCUCCGAGCCUCAGAAGGAAACAGCCCCUUCCGGCUCCUUGAUUUGGACUUGCGGCCUCCAGUACCUGGAAAGACCCUGUUGUGGUCAUUCAUUCUGGUAGCCCUACCGCUGGUGACACUCUCCACGGCCUUAGAGUUCUGUCCAGGGCAUUCGGUAGCAGUCUCCUGUAAGGGUAAAAGAAACUGAAGUUAAAGUGUUAAAAGACCGGGCAUUGUAAAGUUUCUAAGCUGCAAGGCCUGAGUUAAAAAGUAAAGGACCAGGUAUUGUUAAGUUCCUAUGCUACACGCAAAACCUGAAAUUCCUGUAGCUGUUAGGACAAUUCACCAGAACUGCCCAGUAAAUAUUCCCCCUGACCGCCUGGUUGUUUAAUAACCUAGGACUCUGUGUGACCUUGCACGUAGACAUCGCAGGGCCUGAACCAAUCAGUUUGAAUGUACCUCCCUCCUUAGAACUGACCUAUCACCCCCGCCCGAACUGUUCCCGCCAAUGAAUGAACUAAUCAUGUUUUAGAAUUGUUGUUUGAUUUUCCCGUGGUGUAUGAUGAUUUGUUAAAGGAGACUGUGAUGUAUGUAAAGUCCCCGCCCUCCCCAAAAAGUGUACUUAAGCAGUGCCCAGCCCCUGCUCGGGGCUCUGGGCUGCUCUCCCUUCUUGAGUGAGCACGGAGCCCCAGCGUGCUGGAAUGGAUCCCCAAUAAAUCCCCUUCUGCAAUUGCAUGAGUCA